GACGAACGCUGGCGGCGUGCCUAAUACAUGCAAGUCGAACGGUCUUUUCUAUGGAAGCUUGCUUCCACUGAGAAGAUAGUGGCGAACGGGUGAGUAACACGUGGGUAACCUGCCCAUAAGAGGGGGAUAACAUCCGGAAACGGGUGCUAAUACCGCAUAGUUUUCUUGAUCGCAUGAUUGAGAAAGGAAAGACGGCCUUUGUGCUGUCGCUUAUGGAUGGACCCGCGGCGUAUUAGUUAGUUGGUGAGGUAACGGCUCACCAAGACGAUGAUACGUAGCCGACCUGAGAGGGUGAUCGGCCACAUUGGGACUGAGACACGGCCCAAACUCCUACGGGAGGCAGCAGUAGGGAAUCUUCCGCAAUGGACGAAAGUCUGACGGAGCAACGCCGCGUGAGUGAAGAAGGUUUUCGGAUCGUAAAACUCUGUUGUCAGAGAAGAACAAGUUGGAGAGUAACUGCUCCAGCCUUGACGGUAUCUGACCAGAAAGCC
This 491-nucleotide ribosomal RNA is filed under the name uncultured bacterium. RNAcentral's name for it is "bacterial SSU rRNA". It matches the Rfam family "Bacterial small subunit ribosomal RNA", at positions 28 to 492 of the family's 1533-position model. The record is from RNAcentral.